AUGUCCUGCCGGCACAGGGGCCGCGCUGUCGGGUUCAGGCAGGUGGAAUGUCCUGCCGGCACAGGGGCCGCGCUGUCCAGUUCAGCCUGGUGGAGCGUCCUGCCGGCACAGGGACCGCGCUGUCCAGUUCAGCCUGGUGGAACGUCCUGCUGGUACAGGGGCCACGCUGUCGGGUUCAGCCUGGUGGAAUGUCCUGCCGGCACAGGGACCGCACUGUCGGGUUCAGGCAGGUGGAAUGUCCUGCCGGCACAGGGACCGCGCUGUCGGGUUCAGCCUGGUGGAACGUCCUGCCGGCACAGGGACCGCGCUGUCCAGUUCAGCCUGGUGGAGCGUCCUGCCGGCACAGGGACCGCGCUGUCCAGUUCAGCUAACGUCUCCACCGUAUCAUGGGUCCGACCAUUUGUCCUUACCCGAAGCGUGCCCUGUUUCCCUCACGGAUUUAGGUCUUUAAUUAUGAAACGAGCACACAUUAAGGGGCCCAGGACUUGGGCCGCUGGCGGGGUCAUCGUAGGCAGUGCCCCUUGGUCUCUCAGAUCUCCGCCUGCCUCCCCAGUCUGCUCCCCAGAAUGCGACGUGGCGACUCGCGCCCCUUUGGUUGCCGCCAGGGUGGUGCGUCUUCUCCAAGCUGGGUCCGAUGCACACGCGUCUUCCUCGCUCAGGCUGGCUCGGGCAGGCCGCGCGGGGCUGGGGCUUGUCUGGCAGUCUCGGUCUCAGAGCUGGUGUGUUCAGGGCAGGGUGCUGCGGCUACCGCUGAAGCAGCUGAAUCCACGCCUCCAGGCGGUCCCUGUGUUCCCGCUCCUGGCCUUUGGCCUUUGGCCUUUGGCCUUUGGCCUUUGGUCUGUUCUGUGUUUGACUUGUGCGCUUUUUCGGCUUCUGGUUUUGAGCAUCUUCAUUCUCCGGUGUCCCUGUCUUGCGAAGCAUCCCGGUUCUACUUCCUGCUUCUCCCUUUGCCGCGGUGGCCCCGGGUCUGCCUUCCCACAGUCCGGCUCCUCCUCACAGGCCGUGCAAGCGCCCAGGGCCACACAACCUUUCCAGCUUCCUCUGCUCCCCGUGGACCCUGCUGUCACCCAUUUCACAACAGAGAGAGGACUUCAAGGAGCUGGUGGGAAAAUGGAAUUAAAGAGAUGUUUAUUCUGGUCCCAUGAAAUUUGGACUCUACCCCCAGUUUUCUCACAGCUCACAAUUUCUUUUCUUUUCUUUUUUUUUUUUUUGACAGGCAGAGUGGACAGUGAGAGAGAGAGACAGAGAGAAAGGUCUUCCUUUGCCGUUGGUUCACCCUCCAAUGGCCGCCGCGGCCGGCGCGCUACGGCCGGCGCACCGCACAGAUCCGAUGGCAGGAGCCAGGUGCUUUUCCUGGUCUCCCAUGGGGUGCAGGGCCCAAGCACCUGGGCCAUCCUCCACUGCACUCCCGGGCCACAGCAGAGGGCUGGCCUGGAAGAGGAGCAACCAGGACAGAAUCCGGCGCCCCGACCGGGACUAGAACCCGGUGUGCCAGUGUCGCAAGACGGAGGAUUAGCCUAG
RNAcentral lists this long non-coding RNA (1521 nucleotides) under Oryctolagus cuniculus (rabbit). RNAcentral's name for it is "lncRNA (ENSOCUG00000038473.1)". The record is from RNAcentral. Lineage: Eukaryota; Metazoa; Chordata; Mammalia; Lagomorpha; Leporidae.